CUUAAUUAAUUUUAAAUCAGACCAACCUUCAUCAUCAAACAGAGUGAUCCAGCAGAACUCAGAGGUUCCCAGUGGUCCACCUGCCCAGCAGCAUCAAACCCAGCUGGACUCCAUAUUUAUGCUGCUGGAGGAAAACAUUGUUAGUUUUGUGAAGAACGAGCUGAAGAAGAUCCAGAAGGUUCUGAAUCAAGAUGAUACAGAAGGCUUGGAGAGUCAGUCGGAGG
Molecule: long non-coding RNA, 224 nt
Organism: Cyprinodon variegatus (sheepshead minnow)
Lineage: Eukaryota; Metazoa; Chordata; Actinopteri; Cyprinodontiformes; Cyprinodontidae
Exons: 3
Source: RefSeq, a predicted model, not a curated record